GAUGAACGCUGGCGGCGUGCCUAAUACAUGCAAGUCGAGCGAACAGACGAGGAGCUUGCUCCUCUGACGUUAGCGGCGGACGGGUGAGUAACACGUGGAUAACCUACCUAUAAGACUGGGAUAACUUCGGGAAACCGGAGCUAAUACCGGAUAAUAUAUUAAACCGCAAGGUUCAAUAGUGAAGGACGGCUUUGCUGUCACUUAUAGAUGGAUCCGCGCCGCAUUAGCUAGUUGGUAAGGUAACGGCUUACCAAGGCGACGAUGCGUAGCCGACCUGAGAGGGUGAUCGGCCACACUGGAACUGAGACACGGUCCAGACUCCUACGGGAGGCAGCAGUAGGGAAUCUUCCGCAAUGGGCGAAAGCCUGACGGAGCAACGCCGCGUGAGUGAUGAAGGUCUUCGGAUCGUAAAACUCUGUUAUUAGGGAAGAACAAAUGUGUAAGUAACUAUGCACGUCUUGACGGUACCUAAUCAGAAAGCCACGGCUAACUACGUG
Molecule: ribosomal RNA, 497 nt
Filed under: uncultured bacterium
Lineage: Bacteria
Description: partial 16S ribosomal RNA
Rfam family: Bacterial small subunit ribosomal RNA
Source: RNAcentral